GCCGGAAGAGGUGCGGGGGCUGCAGCGGGGUGCAGGGGAUCGUAUGCAGUGGAGGAGGCCUGGGCGCGGCUGGGGGCCGGGGGGCGCUGAGGCUGCCCGAACGCCUAGGAGGUCUCGAGGGCCUGGAAAUCCACGCGGCUUCCCAAAGACGGCGCCUCUGUUCUGCGGGUUCGUGACGAGGAUUUAUUUCCACCCACUGCGCCUGGGCGCAGGUCUGCGGGUCCGCGCCCACUGCGUGCGGCGCCACGGACCAUGUCGGUGACUGAUCAGGCUUUUGUCACACUGGCCACAGAUGACAUCUACUGCCAGGGCGCCCUGGUCCUGGGGCAGUCACUGAGGAGACACAGGCUGACGAGGAAGCUGGUGGUGUUGAUCACUCCUCAGGUGUCCAGCCUGCUCAGAAUCUGCAGCCUCACCGGUCCUCUCCAUGGUUUCCUGAAGGCCAUAGAAGGAAGACAGCGUCUCUGCAUUGUCCUGAACAUUAACUUUAUUGCUUCACUUUCGGUAGCUUCUGAUGAUGACAUGAAGUCACUGGCUGUGUAGAAGGUUGAUUUUGUGCAGAAUUAGACCAAGUAAUUGGAAAUACUGAAGGAGCAAAUAAAUAUGAUAUGGGAGUG
Homo sapiens (human) is the source of this 617-nucleotide long non-coding RNA. The record is from Ensembl. NCBI's taxonomy places the organism in Eukaryota, Metazoa, Chordata, Mammalia, Primates, Hominidae.